Molecule: ribosomal RNA, 206 nt
Filed under: Helotiales sp.
Lineage: Eukaryota; Fungi; Ascomycota; Leotiomycetes; Helotiales
Description: partial large subunit ribosomal RNA
Source: RNAcentral
AAGCGUUUGCAACCAGACUUGCACGUUGCUGAUCAUCCGGUGUUCUCACCGGUGCACUCAGUUUCGUUCAGGCCAGCAUCGGUUUGGGUGGUUAGAUAAAGGCCUUGGGAAUGUGGCUUUUCGGAGUGUUAUAGCCCAAGGUGCAAUGUAGCCAACCUGGACCGAGGACCGCGCUUCGGCUAGGAUGCUGGCGUAAUGGUUGUAAA